Molecule: long non-coding RNA, 230 nt
Filed under: Elaeis guineensis (African oil palm)
Lineage: Eukaryota; Viridiplantae; Streptophyta; Magnoliopsida; Arecales; Arecaceae
Description: long non-coding RNA (EGUI_LNC076945)
Source: RNAcentral
GUCGGGACUCACAAUAGAGAGACUGAAUCAUACGUAACUACACAUAAAGGUUCAUCACUUUUAUUCUACUAGAUUAUCACUACAAACUAGUAGAUGUCACUGAUAGAUUGUGAGAGCUUACUAGGAUUAUUCUGGAUCAAUAAUCUUUAAUGAGUGAGAGUGGAAUCAUUCCGAUCCAUUGAAAAAGUUUCAAUGAUACUAUGAUAGAGAUCAUGGUAUAUCUCACUACC